Setaria italica (foxtail millet) is the source of this 1352-nucleotide long non-coding RNA. RefSeq lists it as uncharacterized. The record is from RefSeq and is a predicted model, not a curated record. The transcript has 5 exons. NCBI's taxonomy places the organism in Eukaryota, Viridiplantae, Streptophyta, Magnoliopsida, Poales, Poaceae.
GUAGAUGUACUUGUGGUGUCCUCAUCAUUUGGAGCGGCCAGUUUUCAGCUUAGGAACUCGAGUGCUUAUCUCGAGUAUGUUUUGCCUGACUCUCAUGGUGACUAGAAAAAGAGAUGGUUUUAUAUUGGAAACCAUGAUCCUGUCUUACCAGUAGUCACUAGACACGCUCCAAAGCAUGUGGAGAAUUGGGUGAGCGAGCCUGAGGACACCCCUGAAAUUGCUAACUUGCUGACUCAGAUUGCUGAGUUGAGAUCGUUGGGCUUGACUAGCAUUAAUGUGGCCACCAGUUUUCUUAAGCAGAGAGUUCAGUCUUUGCAGCAGUGAGCUCGCUCGGGCUCGGAGUACUCGGGUUUUGAUGACCCAUCACGGAUGUUCUCUGAAGACAUAUCUGAUGAUGAUGUGGAGGCGUUGCUGGGGAAGUUUUUUAGGAACUAUCAGGGGGUACCAGUGCUUCCAGGAGUUCUUCGUUAGUUUGAUAGUUGGUAUGGGCCGGCAGAGUCCUGGGUUCUUUUCGGCUUCUUGCCGCAGUCUGAGGGAGGGGAGAUAGUCGUGGCUGACUCUGAUGAUGAACCUUCUCCUCCUGCUAAGAAACGACGAGUAGUCCGAAUGAAAGCUGUAGUGCAGCCUGUUUCGUCGUCGAGUUUGACCCCUGAGGGGUCGCAGAGUACCAAGGCCGACGACUCGACUGCGGGUGGCGAAGAGGCUACUUCUGGUGAGGUAGUCGCUAUUGGCAAGGAUGUUGUUGUCAGUGUCGCGGCUGUUGAAGGGUUACCGGUGGGGGUGCCGCUUGUAGACUCGGAAGCAGCCUUCGAGCCUAGCCCCGGCACCGUCAGUUAAACGAGUUGGCAGUCCCCGAACAGGUUAUCGUGGGUGCAUCUUCUGAGGUGACUGACGUCGCAAAGACACCGGUGAUUGCUGCUGGCGCUUUGUUAUCCGAUGUUAUCACCAGUGGACUUGGCGAGAAUAUCGUACCUCCGACUGACCCUGUGGUGCCGAGUACUCAACUGGCAGUCACUGAGAAGAAACAUGUGCGAUUGCCACCGUGGUCAUCUCGGGAUGCUGAGGAUACUAUCCCUGUGGAAACAGGAGCGGGGUCUGGUCUUCCGACUACACUUUCUGGUCCCUUAGUUGAUUUGACGAUGGAUGAACCACCUGAGGUUGAGGACACAAAUCGUCUUGGUGCCACUAUCUCCAUGCUUCAAGAAGUUAUCUACUCAGUGGAGAUCCAUGCGGUCCCUUCGAGUUCUGGAGGUGUGCCGUCUUCAAUGACUGUUGGUGGUACCUUGUGAUGAGGACACCACGAGUACAUCUACACCAGCAGCACCUCAGGCGCCUCCAGUUGCUCCUCCACC